AUUGAACGCUGGCGGCGUGCCUAACACAUGCAAGUCGAGCGGUAACAGGUGUAGCAAUACAUGCUGACGAGCGGCGGACGGGUGAGCAAUAUUUGGGAAUCUGCCUAUUAGUGGGGGAUAACCCGGGGAAACUCGGGCUAAUACCGCAUACGCUCUACGGAGGAAAGCCGGGGACCGCAAGGCCUGGCGCUAGUAGAUGAGCCCAAAUCGGAUUAGCUAGUUGGUGAGGAACGGCUCACCAAGGCGACGAUCCGUAGCUGGUUUGAGAGAACGACCAGCACACCGGAACUGAGACACGGUCCGGACUCCUACGGGAGGCAGCAGUGGGGAAUAUUGGACAAUGGGCGAAAGCCUGAUCCAGCGACGCCGCGUGGGUGAAGAAGGCCUGCGGGUUGUAAAGCCCUUUCGGUUGGGAAGAAAAGUAUUGGCCUAAUACGCUAGUACCUUGACGUAACCAACAAAAGAAGCACCGGCUAACUCUGUGCCAGCAGCCG
RNAcentral lists this ribosomal RNA (494 nucleotides) under uncultured bacterium. RNAcentral describes it as "bacterial SSU rRNA". It matches the Rfam family "Bacterial small subunit ribosomal RNA", at positions 29 to 517 of the family's 1533-position model. The record is from RNAcentral.